GAAAGGGCGCACGGUGGAUGCCUUGGCA
This 28-nucleotide ribosomal RNA is filed under the name Listeria monocytogenes. RNAcentral's name for it is "partial 23S ribosomal RNA". Lineage: Bacteria; Bacillati; Bacillota; Bacilli; Caryophanales; Listeriaceae. The record is from RNAcentral.